This 590-nucleotide long non-coding RNA is filed under the name Brassica napus (rape). Its description in RNAcentral is "long non-coding RNA (BNAP_LNC012169)". The record is from RNAcentral. Lineage: Eukaryota; Viridiplantae; Streptophyta; Magnoliopsida; Brassicales; Brassicaceae.
UAGUGGAGCACGCAGCAGCAGCAUAUCUCGUAGCCUACUCGGUUGUCUAAAAUGUUCCCAGCCAGUGCCAUUUCUGCUGUGCAAAGAUUGGUGAUCUCAGUUCCAUUGGUCUGUGAAUGAGACCACAACCUUAAAUCUUGUAUGUUUGGUUGUUUUAGAGAGCAUCUAAGACAAUGGAUCCUAUUAGUAACAGCUUAAAAAGUAGCUUCUCUAUAUGUCUCUUUGGGAAUCACAUUCUAGUCAGAUGCUAAACUUGGAAGAAACUGAGUCUUAAUCAAUAGCUUCUCAUGUUUUAACUCUGUUUACAGAAGAAGCAUUCCAAUACUCCAUAAUAUAUAACAAUUGAAGAAGUUUCAUGUGCCUAGGAGAAAUGAAACUAAUUUAACUACAAAGCAGUACUGAGGAACCGAUUUGACGCUCUUCUCGAUUUGAAAGGCUAGAAGCGGCAAGAGUCUCUUCUUUUAACGCUCUUCUCGAUUUGAAAGGCUAGAAGCGGCAAGAGUCUCUUCUUUUCCCCUUCCAUCUUCUGCCAUUACUCUUAGAAACUCUUCAAGAGCACACUGCAUCCACUCAUACCGACACAGUUCCAA